This is a non-coding RNA of Pelobates cultripes (western spadefoot toad), 239 nucleotides long. Lineage: Eukaryota; Metazoa; Chordata; Amphibia; Anura; Pelobatidae. The record is from the annotation of a GenBank genome assembly.
CAUACCAUUUACAAGAGUAGACAACCCAAGGUAUUGCAAAUAGGGUAUGUCCAGUUUUUUUUAGUAGCCUCUUAAACACUGGCCAAAAUUGGUGUUCAAAUUAGUUUUUUUGCGUUUUUCACACACAAACACAUAUUAAUGCUAAAUUUGGCCAGUGUUUGUGAAUAAGUGGCUUCUAAAAAAGACUGGAUAUACCUCAUUUGCAAUACCUUUGGUUGUUUACUAUUGCACAUGGUAUG